This 458-nucleotide ribosomal RNA is filed under the name uncultured bacterium. Its description in RNAcentral is "bacterial SSU rRNA". It matches the Rfam family "Bacterial small subunit ribosomal RNA", at positions 34 to 507 of the family's 1533-position model. The record is from RNAcentral.
CGCUGGCGGCGUGCUUAAUACAUGCAAGUCAACUGAACUUUAGGUAGCAAUAUUUAAAGGGAGGUGGCGCACGGGUGAGUAACACGUAGGUAAUCUGCCUUCAGGACUGACAUAACUCCGCGAAAGCGGGACUAAAAUCAGAUGAUGCAGCGGCUCGACAUCGAGACAGUUGUUAAACCUUCGGGGCCUGAAGAUGAGCCUGCGUCUGAUUAGGUAGUUGGAGGGGUAAUGGCCCACCAAGCCUGCGAUCAGUAGCUGGUCUGAGAGGAUGAUCAGCAACACUGGGACUGAGACACGGCCCAGACUCCUACGGGAGGCAGCAGUGGGGAAUCUUAGACAAUGGGCGCAAGCCUGAUCUAGCCAUGCCGCGUGGACGAUGAAGGCCUUAGGGUUGUAAAGUCCUUUCAGCUGGGAAGAUAAUGACGGUACCAGAGGAAUAAGCACCGGCUAACUCCGUG